AAGCAUAUAAUUAAGCGGAGGAAAAGAAACUAACCAGGAUUCCCUCAGUAAGGGCGACUGAAGCGGGAAGUGCUCAGGAUGUGAAUCUGCGCUGUAUUUGCGCCGAAUUGUGGUCUGUAGACGGUGGCAUUACCAGCCGGGCCAAGUCCCUUGGAACAGGGCAGCUGAGAGGGUGAGACUCCCGUUCGCCUGGCAGGGUGAGCUACUAGUCGACGAGUCGAGUUGUUUGGGAUUGCAGCUCAAAGUGGGUGGUAAAUUCCAUCUAAAGCUAAAUAUUGGUGGGAGACCGAUAGCGUACAAGUACCGUGAGGGAAAGAUGCAAAGAACUUUGAAAAGAGAGUUAAAGAGUACCUGAAAUUGCUGAAAGGGAAGCGAAGGAAACCAGUGUUGGCUAUGUCAUAUUUCCCUGUCCGCUUGCGGUUCGGGCGCUGUGGCAUGCCUUUGUUGUUUUUGGUUGGGACCUUUGGAAGAGCGCAGUGAGAGUUGAUCUCUGUUGCUAGCACUGGUCUUGACUGAGGAGGACGAAAUGGUUUUCUUUACCCCGUCUUG
This 549-nucleotide ribosomal RNA is filed under the name Nitzschia cf. frequens. Its description in RNAcentral is "partial 28S ribosomal RNA". It matches the Rfam family "Eukaryotic large subunit ribosomal RNA", at positions 36 to 656 of the family's 3401-position model. Lineage: Eukaryota; Bacillariophyta; Bacillariophyceae; Bacillariales; Bacillariaceae. The record is from RNAcentral.